Molecule: ribosomal RNA, 414 nt
Filed under: uncultured bacterium
Lineage: Bacteria
Description: bacterial SSU rRNA
Rfam family: Bacterial small subunit ribosomal RNA
Source: RNAcentral
AGUAACGACGUGGGUUACCUACCUCUAAGUUGGGGAUAACACGUUGGAAACGACUGAUAAUACCGAAUGUGCUCUACGGAGUAAAGGAGCCCUUAAAGCUCCGCUUAGUGAUGGGCCUGGCGGCGUAUUAGCUUGUUGGUGGGUAACGGCCUACCAAGGCGACGAUGCGUAGCCGAACUGAGAGGUUGAUCGGCCACACUGGGACUGAGACACGGCCCAGACUCCUACGGGAGACAGCAGUUAGGAAUAUUCGUCAAUGGGGGAAACCCUGAACGAGCAAUGCCGCGUGAACGAAUGACGGCCCUAUGGGUUGUAAAGUUCUGUUGUUUGGAAAGAACUGGUAAGAAUAGGAAAUGAUUCUUACUUGACGGUACCAUUCAAGAAAGCCACGGCUAACUACGUGCCAGCAGCCGC